This 2060-nucleotide long non-coding RNA is filed under the name Equus caballus (horse). Its description in RNAcentral is "lncRNA (ENSECAG00000059341.1)". Lineage: Eukaryota; Metazoa; Chordata; Mammalia; Perissodactyla; Equidae. The record is from RNAcentral.
AGGGCUAAGUCUGUGCUGUGAUUAAUUCUCCAAAGCUUCCUGAUGGAUCAGGCGGAAGCCAGACUCCACGCGGAGAUAACAUCUUUGCUUAGCCCUUUCCCCUGCCCUACCCUGCUUCCCCCGCACUCCUUUCUCCUGAGAGUUUUCCCUCAAUAAUCAUAUCCCUUGAAUACCUGUCUUAGGCUCUACUGCUGGGGAGCCCCCCUAAGACACCCCUCAAUAGAGCAAUGGAGUCCCUUAGUAAAAUCUGUACUCCUUUACUUGGCAUUCAAGGCCCUCUAUGAUCAGAGCACCCACUUUCCUGCCUUGUCCGCCCCGUCCCCCUUCCCUUGUGCUGUGUUGGUGCAGAGCAUAGCAGAUGACUGAACUGCAUGCUGAAUCGGCAUAUGUUGCCUCAUUUCCCACCUCUGAGCCUUUUCUAUGCUCUUCCUCCCGCUGGGCCUCUCUUUGCUGCCUCCAUCCUCCAUGCACAUUGAAGCACUACCCACACUUCAAGUGAAACCUUCCUGCCCUCGAGCCAGAAGCCCCGUCUCCCUCCUUUGAUCUCCCAGAGCACCUCCUGUGUCUCUCUGAUAACACGAAUCACCUUCUGCUUGGUAACUGUAGGGUAACACCAAGUUCAACGGCACUAUUUCUGUCUCAGUUGAGGCCCCAAAGCCAGCAGGUGCCAACCAGUCCACAUCCAAAGUGAGGCGCAAGACCACCCUAGCAGGACUUACAAAGGAGGUGGCCCAGAGCUGGAACUCCCUGCCGACCCUUCACCCCCAGGCCAUCAGUGAAGCUAUUGAUGAGUCAGUGUUUGCAGGUGCAAAGGAUGCUGAGGAUUUCCCAUGGAGCCUAUGGAGGUGAACUGGGAUUGUUUUUACAAAGGUGUGGACCAGCAGAUGCCCAGAGAUUGAGGGCAGAUGAAAUGACAGCUGGAGAGUGCCACACCCCUGCUAGGGAACAACGACAGAGCCAGUUACUAGCACACCGCUGCUUGACAGCUUCCACUUAUGAACUCUUGUGAGCCCUGAACCACCACAUAAGAAGUUCAGCUACCUUUCAGGAAAGACCACCUGUGGAAAAGCCCCAUGGAGAGGGAGAGACCCUGAGAUUACAUGGAGGAGAACCAAGGCACCCAGAUAAAUGACCCAGUGGAGCUAUUCCAGCAAGUCUCCAGCCUUGCGAGCCCUCCUAGCUGAGGCAUCUGACCUAUGAAUGAAGAGGCCACGGACACCCGACCCCGGGAGACAUCAUCACACGGAUCAGAGAUGAGCCAUCCCUGCUGCAACCUGUCUGAAUUCCCGACUCAUAGCUGGUCAAAUAAGAGAUUUGUGGUUUUAAACCAUUAAGUUUUGGGGUACUUUAGGAUGCAUCAGUAGACAGAACUGCUGGGGAUCCCAAGACAAAGAGCCAGACAGCCCCAUGUCCCCUGCCAUGGUCUCUUCCCUAUGUAGCUUCUCAUUCCCUUUGGCAUUGCCUGGGUUCCAGGAAGCCCGAAGGAGAGGUUCCCAGCUCUCUCACCCCAACAGAGGUGGCCUCACUUGCCCCCGAACCACCCUGAUCUUCCAGGGAUCCCGGAGGGCAUCCCCACUCACACCCUCCCCCAUCCCAUGGAAGCAGACAGGGAGAUGCGGAGUGAGGGAUUCUGCUGGGGAGGCUGGUGUGGAGCUGAGAGAGGGAUGGAGCCCCUCCCUUCCCUGUUGACAUUUGGAAAGGACAAAAUUAGGAGGAAGGUAAAUGUUACUUUUCUUGUCUUCUGGGGACCAGGGAAGAGGAAGGCCAACCCAAGGUUCGGAUUGUUUUCAAGUUUGGUGAGGAUGCUGGGGUGCUGGGCAUGAGUUCCCUGAAGACUGAGGAGGUUGUUGCUCGUGGGCUUGGCGUCUUGCAACAGAGGUUGCUUGGGAACAGUGUGGGGCAAGACUGCCCUCUCCAUCCCCUUCUGGAGCCUCUGCGGCUGGUGGUCCCAACCAGGGGUGAUGCCACUGGUCUGCAUAGUGUUUCCAAAUUCCUGACAGCUACUGAUCUGGGGGACUUGGGAAUGAGCAAUUAGAAUCCCGAGAGUUCUUGGAAAUUCC